Molecule: non-coding RNA, 329 nt
Organism: Pelobates cultripes (western spadefoot toad)
Lineage: Eukaryota; Metazoa; Chordata; Amphibia; Anura; Pelobatidae
Source: the annotation of a GenBank genome assembly
UCUCAUUCUGGAAUAUUGUAAUUCUGUUUUAGGAAUUACGUUAUGAAUAUUAGAAGAUGAACAUCAUAGGUUCUAAGCUGUAUAUUUUUUAUAUGAAAUAUACAAUAAUGACAAUUAAAUAUUCUAACUUUGAUCCCAAAAGUUUAUAUAUGGAGGAAAAGACAGACCAGACAGGAGUCAUAUGCAAGUAUCAAUCUCAUGUUGCUAAUGCUUGCCAAAGUUUGUGUCUUUUUCAUGUGGAUGAUGUUCACCAUUUAGGAAAGCAAAUGCUAGAAGUUGUCCCUUAUAGGUUAUUUUCUGUUAGGCCUGUUGCCUAUUCACAUGUGAGG